AGGACGACGCUGGCGGCGUGCUUAACACAUGCAAGUCAAGGGGGCCCGCAAGGGUAACCGGCGAACGGGUGCGUAACACGUGAGCAAUCUGCCUAGAUGUGGGGGAUAGCCGGCCCAACGGCCGGGUAAUACCGCAUACGCUCGUCGACUGGCAUCAGUUGACGAGGAAACUUUCGAGGCAUCUAGAGGAGCUCGCGGCCUAUCAGCUAGUUGGUGGGGUAACGGCCUACCAAGGCGGUGACGGGUAGCUGGUCUGAGAGGAUGGCCAGCCACAUUGGGACUGAGAUACGGCCCAGACUCCUACGGGAGGCAGCAGUGGGGAAUAUUGCGCAAUGGCCGAAAGGCUGACGCAGCGACGCCGCGUGGGGGAUGAAGCAUUUCGGUGUGUAAACCCCUGUUGCUCGGGACGAACAAGCCUUUUCGAGGGCUCUGACGGUACCGAGUGAGGAAGCACCGGCUAACUCCGUG
Molecule: ribosomal RNA, 468 nt
Filed under: uncultured bacterium
Lineage: Bacteria
Description: bacterial SSU rRNA
Rfam family: Bacterial small subunit ribosomal RNA
Source: RNAcentral